GUGUCAGCCGCCGCGGUAAUACGAAGGGGGCUAGCGUUGCUCGGAAUCACUGGGCGUAAAGGGUGCGUAGGCGGGUCUUUAAGUCAGGGGUGAAAUCCUGGAGCUCAACUCCAGAACUGCCUUUGAUACUGAGGAUCUUGAGUUCGGGAGAGGUGAGUGGAACUGCGAGUGUAGAGGUGAAAUUCGUAGAUAUUCGCAAGAACACCAGUGGCGAAGGCGGCUCACUGGCCCGAUACUGACGCUGAGGUACGAAAGCGUGGGGAGCAAACAGGAUUAGAAACCCUCGUAGUCC
This 292-nucleotide ribosomal RNA is filed under the name uncultured Bradyrhizobium sp. RNAcentral's name for it is "partial 16S ribosomal RNA". It matches the Rfam family "Bacterial small subunit ribosomal RNA", at positions 505 to 796 of the family's 1533-position model. Lineage: Bacteria; Pseudomonadati; Pseudomonadota; Alphaproteobacteria; Hyphomicrobiales; Nitrobacteraceae. The record is from RNAcentral.